CCUUUGUACACACCGCCCGUCGCUACUACCGAUUGAAUGGCUUAGUGAGGUCUUCAGAUUGGCUUCGGAGGACCGGAAACGGCAUCCUAUUGCUGAGAAGCUGAUCAAACUUGGUCAUUUAGAGG
RNAcentral lists this ribosomal RNA (125 nucleotides) under Laccaria sp. RNAcentral describes it as "partial small subunit ribosomal RNA". It matches the Rfam family "Eukaryotic small subunit ribosomal RNA", at positions 1657 to 1779 of the family's 1831-position model. The record is from RNAcentral. Lineage: Eukaryota; Fungi; Basidiomycota; Agaricomycetes; Agaricales; Hydnangiaceae.